Molecule: small nuclear RNA, 102 nt
Organism: Otolemur garnettii (small-eared galago)
Lineage: Eukaryota; Metazoa; Chordata; Mammalia; Primates; Galagidae
Source: Ensembl
GUGCUUGCUUCAGCAGCCCACACUAAACUGGAAUGACAUGGGAAGAUUGCAGGGUCCCUGUGCAAGGAUGACCUGCAAGUUCAUGAAGUGUUUCAUAGUUUU